ACCUGAUUUUUAUGCCAGGUGGUAUUUCUCGAUCUGUUUGAUGUGAAUUUUAAUUGACUUUUGUUUACUUCAUCCUUUUGAUGUGAAUUUUAAUUAUAGGUAUUUCUCGAUCCGUUUGAUGUGAAUUUUAAUCUAACUCAGGUUUGUUAAGGGAACCAGACCAUAUAUGUUCCCUGUUCUGUGUUGGCUAGAACAUCUUGGGGGAGAGGUAUGCAUUAGAUGAUAUUGGUUCUGGAUCUCAUGUGCAUCUCAGUUUGUGUCAGAGUUGAACCCAUAUGAAUAGGU
Non-coding RNA from Camellia sinensis, 285 nucleotides. NCBI's taxonomy places the organism in Eukaryota, Viridiplantae, Streptophyta, Magnoliopsida, Ericales, Theaceae. The record is from RefSeq and is a predicted model, not a curated record.